RNAcentral lists this ribosomal RNA (348 nucleotides) under uncultured bacterium. RNAcentral's name for it is "bacterial SSU rRNA". It matches the Rfam family "Bacterial small subunit ribosomal RNA", at positions 8 to 349 of the family's 1533-position model. The record is from RNAcentral.
AGAGUUUGAUCCUGGCUCAGGAUGAACGCUAGCUACAGGCUUAACACAUGCAAGUCGAGGGGAAACGACAUCGAAAGCUUGCUUUUGAUGGGCGUCGACCGGCGCACGGGUGAGUAACGCGUAUCCAACCUGCCCAUCACUUGGGGAUAACCUUGCGAAAGUAAGACUAAUACCCAAUGACGUCUCUAGAAGACAUCUGAAAGAGAUUAAAGAUUCAUCGGUGAUGGAUGGGGAUGCGUCUGAUUAGCUUGUUGGCGGGGUAACGCCACAAGGCGACGAUCAGUAGGGGUUCUGAGAGGAGGUCCCCCANAUUGGAACUGAGACACGGUCCAAACUCCUACGGGAGCA